This 468-nucleotide ribosomal RNA is filed under the name uncultured bacterium. RNAcentral describes it as "partial 16S ribosomal RNA". It matches the Rfam family "Bacterial small subunit ribosomal RNA", at positions 28 to 507 of the family's 1533-position model. The record is from RNAcentral.
GACGAACGCUGGCGGCGUGCUUAACACAUGCAAGUCGAACGGAAAGGCCCUGCUUUCGUGGGGUGCUCGAGUGGCGAACGGGUGAGUAACACGUGAGUAACCUGCUCUUGACUUUGGGAUAACUUCAGGAAACUGGGGCUAAUACCGGAUAGGAGCUCCCGUUGCAUGGUGGGGGUUGGAAAGUUUCGGCGGUCGCGGAUGGACUCGCGGCUUAUCAGCUUGUUGGUGGGGUAGUGGCUUACCAAGGCUUUCAAGGGUAGCCGGCCUGAGAGGGUGACCGGCCACAUUGGGACUGAGGUACGGCCCAGACUCCUACGGUAGGCAGCAGUGGGGAAUAUUGCACCAUGGGCGGAGGCCUGAUGCAGCAACGCCGCGUGCGGGAUGACGGCCUUCGGGUUAUAGACCGCUUUCGCCUGUGACGAAGCGUGAGUGGCGGUAAUGGAUAGAGUAGCACCGGCUAACUACGUG